This is a long non-coding RNA of Clupea harengus (Atlantic herring), 350 nucleotides long. The record is from Ensembl. Lineage: Eukaryota; Metazoa; Chordata; Actinopteri; Clupeiformes; Clupeidae.
GGAGGGAGGAUGGAGGGAGGAUGGAGGGAGGAUGGAGGAGGGAUGGAGGGAGGAUGGAGGUAGGAGGGAUGGAGGGAGGAUGGAGGAAGGAGGGAUGGAGGGAGGAUGGAGGAAGGGAGGGAGGCAGAGAGGAAGAAUAACACAGAGAGAACAGAAAUAGACUGAUACAAUGAAAGGGUGAGGGAGAGGAAGAGGGAGAGAUAAAUAAAGGAGAGAUGCAGAGUGAGGAAUGGACACAAUGAAAAAGAGAGAGAGGGGGGAGAGAGAGAGAGAGAGAGAGAGAGAGAGAGAGAGAGAGAGAGAGAGAGAGAGAGAGAGGGAAAUAGAGAUAAAAUGAGAGAACCUCAAGG